AUCAUUUCUCAGCCUCUGGGCUAGAAUCAAAUGUAAUAUUUGGUUUUAUCAGUUUAAUAUCUAUGUGUCUUCUAUCUGAGGAAAAUAUAUUAAAUUAAACCCUUAGAAGUAGAGAGAAUGAGAGACUGAUCCAUAAAGCCAGGCAUUAUCUUUGUAUUGUAAUAGUCUCAGAAAGUGCAUUUAAU
Small nuclear RNA from Microtus ochrogaster (prairie vole), 185 nucleotides. RefSeq annotates it as U2 spliceosomal RNA. The transcript has a single exon. The record is from RefSeq and is a predicted model, not a curated record. NCBI's taxonomy places the organism in Eukaryota, Metazoa, Chordata, Mammalia, Rodentia, Cricetidae.